Non-coding RNA from Pelobates cultripes (western spadefoot toad), 207 nucleotides. The record is from the annotation of a GenBank genome assembly. NCBI's taxonomy places the organism in Eukaryota, Metazoa, Chordata, Amphibia, Anura, Pelobatidae.
AAAGUAUUUAUUGUACAUAUCACAGAAAUAUAGACAACUGACAUCUGUCUAUCUAGCAGUCUCACUUGUCUGUCUAUCUAACAGUCUCAUUUAUCUGUCUAUCUAGCAGUCUCAUUCUUCUGUCUAAAAUACAAAACGCAUACCAUCUAUAUAAUAUCAAUUGACAUUUACAAAUUUAAUCCAUUCAAUACUUCCAUCCAAUGUGUU